UACGUAGGGACCAAGCGUUGUUCGGAUUUACUGGGCGUAAAGGGCGCGUAGGCGGUAGUUCAAGUCACUUGUGAAAUCUCCGAGCUUAACUCGGAACGGUCAAGUGAUACUGUUUUGCUAGAGUGCAGAAGGGGCAAUCGGAAUUCUUGGUGUAGCGGUGAAAUGCGUAGAUAUCAAGAGGAACACCUGAGGUGAAGACGGGUUGCUGGGCUGACACUGACGCUGAGGCGCGAAAGCUAGGGUAGCAAACGGG
Molecule: ribosomal RNA, 253 nt
Filed under: uncultured bacterium
Lineage: Bacteria
Description: partial 16S ribosomal RNA
Rfam family: Bacterial small subunit ribosomal RNA
Source: RNAcentral